GGCUCACGGGCGGCGCGGGGCCGCGGGCACCCACCGCGAAGCGGGGAUUUCCCGAGACGCGACAUAAACUCCAUGCCGCGCUAGAAAGAAAGGAGGAAGAUAUUUACUGCAAAUGAAAAUGACAUAAAAAUGUAACUGGAAGAAAAAAGAGAUCAAUUUGGUAUGUAAACUCAUGAGAUACAGGACACCUCUUAACAGAAAAGUUUCUCCUCGCUCCCUUUACAUCAUAACUCUUUGGGGAAAAAACCCAACCACCAGAGCAAAUUUUCUUUUUACACAGUUGCUGCUUUGGCAAGAUCAGAAAAAAGUGUCAUCCUUUGGCAUCAUGUUCUGCACUACCGCCCUGUUAAGAUACAGCACUACAGAUUAAAUUUCUACAUAAUACAAUUCCUGUUUGUGAAAGAUGCCAGAGUGACAGCAUCAGACACUAAAAUUACAUUUGUCCACCACCCAGCUACAGUAACAGCAGCAGCAGCGGGGUUGUUUUCAGAACACUCAAAUUUAAGCUACUGAAACAUUGAGGGUGUUUCAGUAUCUGCCAGGACAGAGAAGAAGUAACCUGCAAACCUACAAACUUAAGUAUUAAAAGCUAAAUAUUAAAGGCUUUCUGGAUAGGAAGUUAAGACCAUAAUUUCCAGCAAUUUUAUUUUCUUCACCUUCCCUAAUAAAAGGUUCCUUUCUGUAUAACCUGGUCAGAAAGAUACUUUAUUCCAGACAAAGCUUGUGAGCUAGACUAGGCUGCAGUCAGCCAAUCUUUUCAUGGCUUGAAAAUUGUAAGUGCACCCAGAAAAAACAAGGUAACAGAAUGAGCUGCUUUUCCUCAGAUCUCUCCUGACACCAUCAGAUUUACCCAAAGCAGAUCAACUCCAGCACAUUUCAGUGAACAGAGCUUGUGAAGUCCCAUGCAUUGCUCACACAUGUGGGAACAUCUGGAUUGUUUGUCAGCAAGCCCACUGAGCUGGGAGCCUACCUGGACAUCAGCAGUGCUAAGAAAGCUUGUGGGAAGAAAGGUGUCUUCCUGAAAUGGAUGAACAAUGGUUAAACAGACACAGAAGAGAAUUAGUAAAGGAAAGAGGCAAUGACACUCUCAAGCAGGAGAAACUAGCAUCAGACCUAAUAGCCCUGCUCCCUCCUGUUUAGUUACUCUUUCCUGCUUGAUCCAAGCACCAGACCAAAAUGGUUCUCUCUACCUUGAGACCCAGCUUUUGAAGGCUGGGAAAAUAAAGGUGGAACAAAUAAGUGAACAGACAAUGAAUUCCUGUUAUGCCUUGUGCAUUUCCCUAGGAAAGGGAGGUCAAAUAAGAAGGUACCAAUGUACAAUAAGCUUGGUGUACUAGAAGAGGGAGCACAGGGGUCCUGGGGACGCUAUCAGCAUCCAAAAUAAAUUUACAUGUAAUUUUGACUGGUUAAUUAUUUAUGGAAAGUCCUGUUUGCACUUUUAAAUUUUGGUUUUGAAUUAAUUUCCUCCUUUCUCGCUUCACGAGUAAUUUUGUCAUGUAAAUACAAAAUGCAAUGAGAAAGUACCUGUAAGCACAAAUUAGAUUAUGUAAAACUAAAUUACACACUCCAAGUCUUCAGUAAACCUUAAGCAUUUUUGUAUUACAGUUAUGCCAGUCUAAAGCUGCCAAAAGGGGAGGUGCCUACCUCCCUCCCAUCCCUUUUGUUAGAUCAGCCUGUACAGCUGCAGGAUGAGUUGCUUCAGCUGGCUGCUGAUGUAAAGUAAUUUCUUUCAGGGUUAGGAUACAGUUCCAUUAAAGUUGACAUUAAAAUAUUUAGUGCUGCUGCAGUUAUGUCCAUCUCCAAAACCUGCCUCCUGUGUUUUGUCAACUGUGCUGUUUGUCUGACUCUGCAGGGAGCAAGUUCAAGCCACUAAAUCUUUGGGAAACUAUCCAAAGAAUUUGGGGGUAGAGGGGGUGGGGAGAGGAUCAGGGAAUAAUACUCUGCUGGCUCAAUGGCCACAGCUAGGUCAUUAAGAAUUUGGAUGAAAGCCUGUCCCAGUACAAAGAAGUAACAGCCAUGCAUAGCAAGACUCAGGAUCAAGGCAGCCCCAGCAGAGCCUACACUGCCAUCGACCAUCACUCCUGCAUCAUCCAGUGAACUGACAGCCUCUGUGCCUGUGCAAUUAACUGCUAAGGCUGCAAAAGAAAUGGCCCCUGCCUUUGUUUGGAGUCAAGUGGGAUGGGAUCAUCCCCUUUCAAUGCAUAUGGAUAUUGGAUUGGAUACUGUGGGGGAAAAAUUGUUACAUCAAUAGAUCAAGAAAGUAUCUGCCUUUUUUAAAAAAUCUUUUGAAUCAGAGAUUUUGUGUGUUUUAUUGAGAGAAAGAGUAUGGAAAAGUAACAUUAAACAGCUCAUAGUUGGAAAAAAAACAGUGGCCUUAAGAGUUUUUCUUAAUGAGGUCUUAUUCAUUUAUUCAACUGGAAUAAUUUGGUAAUUAUUCAAUUAUGAUUUAUUAACCCUUAUCUGGCAAAGGAGUUAAAUUCCAUAAAUAACUCCAAAAAACCAAAACCCAGCAGUGAAUCAAAAGAUAUAUUAAACUGAACUAAAACAAUCCCGAGACAGCUGGAUCAUGAAAAAUUGUUCAACUCAGAGAACAUUUAAAGGUUAGAGCUCUAUUACAGGUAAAAGAAAGAAGAUCAUAGAGAGAGAAAAAAAGAUUAAUAUAGUGAGUACCUGGUGCUUCUUUUAUUCAUUUCAUUUUUACUGUAAGGCCACCAUUUUGCAGAUGGUCUGAAGUAUCACAUUCCUUACCACCUCAAAAGGUUCUAUAUCAAUUAUUCUAACUAUGGCUGUAAAAGAACAGCCUACAGACAGCUGCUGGAAAUAAAAGACAUGAUAGAAAAAGUUUCCUAGUAUCUUUCUUCAUGAAGAUUUUUAAAUAAAGAAUUCAAUUGUAACAUGGCAUAAACCUUGGCAGGUUCAUAGUCUUGCAUGCUACAAAUGGAAGCCAGAUUCAAAGAUCCCACUGCAAGCACAGAGAACAUUGGCCACAGAGCUACUACUAGUUAAAUUUUUGGUUUAACUUCAUUUUAGGAGAAAAGAUAAUGAUUAAAAUUUCUGGCAAUUGGAAAUCUCAUAAAACCACAGAGAUGGUUUCAGUGGUUAAUUAUUCUGGAUGCUAAAAAGCCACUGAAUGUAAAAUGUUCAUGCUAAAAUUUACAUGAAUGAUUUCUACAUCAUUUAGUCACUUAUCUGCCAGAAAAAAAGUCAGCCUUGUAAAAUUAUAAAUAGUCAGUAUUUAUACAGCAUAGGGAACAGCACUGUCUUACUUCAUUUCUUUAAAAGUUUGCCUGUGUUAAACAACUGUAUAGAAGUCAGCAUUAACAACUGCAAGAGCCUUUGAGACAGCUCUUUUAAUAUUCUUAAUGGAACUUUACUAUAAAUUGGCAUCAAUGUUUGCAGUCUUAACUCAUCUGCUUUAUGUCUACCUAUUGUUAUACUACAUAUUUUUGCACUCCUGAAUGAAGUUAUCUGUCUAGAGCACUUGAAAACAUCCAGUACUAAUAGCUGCAAUUUAGUAUUUCCAUGGAAAAAGUAAAUAUUUUAUCAUAUGAUCUAACAGCCUCUUUUCCACCUUUUCCUCCAUCUAACUACAUAAGAUAAAUAUUUAUUGAAAACCUCAGCAUUUUCUGCCUUACUCUGGAGAAUUCUUUUCGUUUUGUCUAGAUUUGGUUAGCAUUAUUGGGAUUCAUUCAAUUUCUUUUUAACAGCUACAAGAAGCCAAACAGCUGCCCCAUUAAAGGAAAGAGAAAAAAGGAAAAAAAAGCCACCAAACUUUGUGGCCAUGGCUUUCUCCCUAAUUUUUCCUUCUGCUUUUUCAGUGUUCUGAAUUUCUUAGCUGAUACAUACUAAUUAUAAUCAAAUUAUGCUUUCCUUCAGCUGUUUUUCAAUAUACAUCCUCUCAAACUGAUUUAUUUAACGGGGCUUUUUGUUUCCUCUCUAAGGCAGUUUUCAACACAAACUUGAAAGAAUCAUUUCACUUUUGGAUUUGAUAUUAUUUUGAGCUUGUAAUGUGUGCUUUUAAUUUACCAAGAGAGAUUUUACAUUACAGUUUUUCAUACAGAGAAUAUUUCCCUGUUUUCAUUUUUGUCUAUGUAGGAGUCAUAAAUUAAUCUGUUCACUUAUCUAAGACAACACUAACUGUGAUUUUUUUUCUAGCCAUCAAUAUACAUUUAAUAAAUAAUUUAGUGCACCAAUAUUGUAGAUAUCUAUGACUUUUCUAAUGUCUGAAUCAUUUUAGUACUGUCAGCAUAAGCCAUACAGAACAUUUAGUCUCCAUGAUAAGAGGUAUUUUUUCUUCCUAUUGGAUAUUGGAUAUUAUAGGCAGUUCUUAGAGAGUCAUAUUGUCCCUUGGUGUUUUAUGUCAUAGAUACUUGAUCAAGUUCAACACUGAGCACAAUUUCAGAACCAACCCCAAAUAUUUCAAUUAAUGCUAACAUGUUCCAUUACGUAGUGACAAAAAGGUGGAAAAACCCAGCUUGGCCAUACAAAGCACUCUUUCAAUGGAAACAUUUUAUAUAAAUUGGCAAACUGAAGUAAAAAUGACAAGAAGAAAAUGAAGUUUGUUUAGUGAAUCAGUAAUUUAAACCAAUAUCAUAAAUAAGUUGUCAUGCACCUUACUACAAAUAUUGGCACUCUGCACUGUGUGUUACUUGACAUAUUUUAUAAUCAGAUUGUAGUUCCCUGUAAGACACACACAAACUAUGAAGUAUAGAUAUUGUUGUAAUAAUGUUCCUACUAAAAUGCUAUUUGUAUUCUUAGCAUAUUCAUUUUUCUUCUUAAUAGUUUAUUGCCUUUUUUUCUUCUACCUUUAUUUGAUGUUACUGAAGUGUUUUUAUUUAUAGACAUUCCUAUUUGCAAUUUUGGAAAUGUUUAUAAUUUGUCUUUUAUGUAUACUGUAGGCAAAUUAUAUUUGUGAUUUCUGUUGUAAGUACAUUACUUUCUAUACCCUAUACUCAAAAAGUUAUAGCCUUAAAAUAAAUUUUCCCUUAAUCUUCAGACACAUCUGAAUGUUAUUAGGU
This is a long non-coding RNA of Passer domesticus (house sparrow), 5018 nucleotides long. RefSeq lists it as uncharacterized. Lineage: Eukaryota; Metazoa; Chordata; Aves; Passeriformes; Passeridae. The record is from RefSeq and is a predicted model, not a curated record. The transcript has 5 exons.